UAGGGAAUCUUCCGCAAUGGACGCAAGUCUGACGGAGCAACGCCGCGUGAGUGAAGAAGGAUUUCGGUUCGUAAAACUCUGUUGUUAGAGAAGAACAGCGCAUAGAGUAACUGUUAUGCGUGUGACGGUAUCUAACCAGAAAGCCACGGCUAACUACGUGCCAGCAGCCGCGGUAAUACGUAGGUGGCAAGCGUUGUCCGGAUUUAUUGGGCGUAAAGCGAGCGCAGGCGGUCAAUUAAGUCUGAUGUGAAAGCCCCCGGCUCAACCGGGGAGGGUCAUUGGAAACUGGUUGACUUGAGUGCAGAAGAGGAGAGUGGAAUUCCAUGUGUAGCGGUGAAAUGCGUAGAUAUAUGGAGGAACACCAGUGGCGAAGGCGACUCUCUGGUCUGUAACUGACGCUGAGGCUCGGAAGCGUGGGUAGCAAACAGG
RNAcentral lists this ribosomal RNA (429 nucleotides) under Bacteroidota bacterium. RNAcentral's name for it is "Bacteroidetes bacterium partial 16S ribosomal RNA". It matches the Rfam family "Bacterial small subunit ribosomal RNA", at positions 355 to 776 of the family's 1533-position model. Lineage: Bacteria; Pseudomonadati; Bacteroidota. The record is from RNAcentral.